RNAcentral lists this ribosomal RNA (279 nucleotides) under uncultured bacterium. RNAcentral's name for it is "partial 16S ribosomal RNA". It matches the Rfam family "Bacterial small subunit ribosomal RNA", at positions 506 to 784 of the family's 1533-position model. The record is from RNAcentral.
UGCCAGCCGCCGCGGUAAUACGGAGGGUGCAAGCGUUAAUCGGAAUUACUGGGCGUAAAGCGCGCGUAGGCGGCUAAUUAAGUCAGGUGUGAAAGCCCCGGGCUCAACCUGGGAUGGUCAUUUAGAACUGGCAGACUAGAGUCUUGGAGAGGGGAGUGGAAUUCCAGGUGUAGUGGUGAAAUGCGUAGAUAUCUGGAGGAACAUCAGUGGCGAAGGCGGCUCCCUGGCCAAAGACUGACGCUCAUGUGCGAAAGUGUGGGUAGCGAACAGGAUUAGAUA